GUAUGGUGCUGUGGUGUAUGGUGUAAGGGGAAUGGUGUAAUGGUGUUUGAGGAAUGGUGUGAUUGUGUAACUAGCGAUCGGGAAUGGUGUGAAUGAUGGUGUACGACAUCUCAUUGGUUGAAACGAAUUUCUUUUUAUUUUAUUUUUUCGAGUUGUAAACAUACUCAAUAAUAAUAAUCUUAAUAUUUGAAAUUUAAUUGCAUUAUGGGUAAUUUCGGAUCGUGUAGAUAGAAUGGGGAAUGGUGCAUGGUGUAAUGUGUAAGGUGUAUGGUGCAAAGGUGUAACGUGUAUGGUGUAAUGGUACAAGGUGUAUGGUGUAAUGCUGUAAGGUGUAUGGUGUAAUGGUGUAUGGUGUUAGUGGGAAGUUUACACCAUCCAAGGACUGUACAUGUAACUGUUAUAUUAAUAAUAAAAUAACAACAAACCAGUACAUACUCUGUGACGUUUAUUAUAAUAUGAGGCAGGCAUUACCUGUAAAUGGGGACGAAGUCUGUAUGAAUUAUUAUUUUGUAACUUAAAUAUUUGUUCAAAAAAAAAAGAAACGGAAAUACCGUAACGUUUCCGAUUUUGGUUCUGUUGUUAGGGAUUUUAGUUAUGACGUUAUUUAAAUUAUGACGUCAUAUACAAUGUAAACAAAGAAACGCUAUCAUCAGGUAACGUUUUUUCAUAUCAAGGAAUUAUGUAAAAUGAAAUUGGUAUUGCGCGUUCCUUCCUAUUUUUAUACUAGACUGAUAAAUAUAUAUUUUACUCAAAGAUUCAUGCAAACGAGACCGGAAAAAGGAAGUACAUAGUACAUUUCUGCGCAGGUCCGGGAUUUCAAAACACGACA
This 829-nucleotide long non-coding RNA is filed under the name Mytilus galloprovincialis (Mediterranean mussel). The record is from RNAcentral. Lineage: Eukaryota; Metazoa; Mollusca; Bivalvia; Mytilida; Mytilidae.